GAUCAUGGCUCAGAACGAACGCUGGCGGCAGGCUUAACACAUGCAAGUCGAGCGCCCCGCAAGGGGAGCGGCAGACGGGUGAGUAACGCGUGGGAAUCUACCCAUCUCUACGGAAUAACGCAUGGAAACGUGUGCUAAUACCGUAUACGUCCUUUUGGAGAAAGAUUUAUCGGAGAUGGAUGAGCCCGCGUUGGAUUAGCUAGUUGGUGGGGUAAAGGCCUACCAAGGCGACGAUCCAUAGCUGGU
This 246-nucleotide ribosomal RNA is filed under the name uncultured bacterium. Its description in RNAcentral is "partial 16S ribosomal RNA". It matches the Rfam family "Bacterial small subunit ribosomal RNA", at positions 15 to 291 of the family's 1533-position model. The record is from RNAcentral.